RNAcentral lists this ribosomal RNA (437 nucleotides) under uncultured Clostridium sp. RNAcentral describes it as "partial 16S ribosomal RNA". It matches the Rfam family "Bacterial small subunit ribosomal RNA", at positions 341 to 792 of the family's 1533-position model. The record is from RNAcentral. Lineage: Bacteria; Bacillati; Bacillota; Clostridia; Eubacteriales; Clostridiaceae.
ACGGGAGGCAGCAGUGGGGAAUAUUGGGCAAUGGGCGAAAGCCUGACCCAGCGACGCCGCGUGAGGGAAGAAGGUCUUCGGAUUGUAAACCUCUUUCAGCAGGGAAGAAGCAAGUGACGGUACCUGCAGAAGAAGUCACGGCUAACUACGUGCCAGCAGCCGCGGUAAUACGUAGGUGGCGAGCGUUAUCCGGAAUUACUGGGUGUAAAGGGUGUGUAGGCGGAGAAGCAAGUCAGGCGUGAAAUACACGGGCUCAACCCGUGAACUGCGCUUGAAACUGUUUCCCUUGAGAGUGGGAGAGGUAAACGGAAUUCCUGGUGUAGCGGUGAAAUGCGUAGAUAUUAGGAGGAACACCAGUGGCGAAGGCGGCUUACUGGACUGUAACUGACACUGAGGCUCGAAAGCGUGGGGAGCAAACAGGAUUAGAUACCCUGGUA